UAUUUUAUGUAUUUGAAAAUCUCUUUAAUGCCUGGUUUAGUAAAAGACAACUGGAUUAUCAUUUAUGCUUUGGCAUUAAGUUGGUUGUGAUUUUGUUUUGGUUGAUAUACAGGAAGACAAUCCGACCUCACAAAGAUGUGUUGUUGGAAAAGGGAACCAACAUUGCAAAAGACUUUUUGGAGCUCUACGGAAAUUUGUCUGUGCUACUAGACAACUACUCAGCAGUCAUAUUUCUGAUGGAAGCAUCUGCAUCAGGAGCCAAGGAUGGAGAGACAAAGAUCCACCAUGCUCAAUGGGAACUUCUUAAAACCUGCACAAAUGGGAGAGAAAAGCUGCCAAUAUCUGGGAGUUACAAGUUACCCUUUUGCCACAUGUGCUAUUCAAGGUUCCUGCUAUCAUGACUGAAGUUGUUCCAGACUGCUUUCACUUCAAGCCAGCAACAACAAUUCAGACUGGUUUAAUCACUUAAUGUUGGAAAAUGUCCUCAAAUAUCCCUUCCCCCCCCCCCCCCCACUCCCAGCCUUGAACAGAAAAAUGCUGCCACUUCCUCCAACCUUCCAAGUUCACUCUCACUUCUGUUGGGGGCUGCGGGGGGUUCAGUGAAGAAGGAGAGAGGAAGGGCCUCUCCAGAUUGACGUUCCUCUUUGGAUCCCAGUUGAGGACUGUCAUUUAGAUGAUCAGACUCCUCCCCACCAAUCAAAUUAAUUCAAAUAAAUACUUUGUAUCCCUGUGCUUGGUUUUUGUU
This 745-nucleotide long non-coding RNA is filed under the name Monodelphis domestica (gray short-tailed opossum). Its description in RNAcentral is "lncRNA (ENSMODG00000031082.2)". Lineage: Eukaryota; Metazoa; Chordata; Mammalia; Didelphimorphia; Didelphidae. The record is from RNAcentral.